This 253-nucleotide ribosomal RNA is filed under the name uncultured bacterium. RNAcentral's name for it is "partial 16S ribosomal RNA". It matches the Rfam family "Bacterial small subunit ribosomal RNA", at positions 524 to 776 of the family's 1533-position model. The record is from RNAcentral.
UACAGAGGUCUCAAGCGUUGUUCGGAUUCAUUGGGCGUAAAGGGUGCGUAGGUGGCGCGCUAAGUCAGGUGUGAAAUUUCGGAGCUUAACUCCGAAACUGCAUUUGAUACUGGCGUGCUUGAGGACUGGAGAGGAGACUGGAAUUUACGGUGUAGCAGUGAAAUGCGUAGAGAUCGUAAGGAAGACCAGUGGCGAAGGCGGGUCUCUGGACAGUUCCUGACGCUGAGGCACGAAGGUCAGGGGAGCAAACGGG